UACAGAGGUGGCGAGCGUUAUUCGGAAUUAUUGGGCGUAAAGAGCGCGUAGGCGGUCCGGUAAGUCGGUUGUGAAAGUCGGGGGCUCAACCCUCGGAUGCCGAUCGAUACUGUCGGGCUAGAGUCCGGAAGAGGCGAGUGGAAUUCCUGGUGUAGCGGUGAAAUGCGCAGAUAUCAGGAGGAACACCAAUGGCGAAGGCAGCUCGCUGGGACGGUACUGACGCUGAGGCGCGAAAGCGUGGGGAGCAAACAGG
RNAcentral lists this ribosomal RNA (253 nucleotides) under uncultured bacterium. Its description in RNAcentral is "partial 16S ribosomal RNA". It matches the Rfam family "Bacterial small subunit ribosomal RNA", at positions 524 to 776 of the family's 1533-position model. The record is from RNAcentral.